GUUCUGGCAGAUCUCGUUGUAGCCCAAGUAGCCGGUAGAGCCGGUGUAGGAUCCAGCGGAGCCCUCGCCGCGGCACGGUGCACCCGGCCAGUUCUGGGAGGAGUCCGACAGCUGGAAGGAGCGUCCGUAAGUGCCCACGCCGAGCACCAGCUUGUUGGCCGGAGCACCUUGGCUCAGCCAAAAGUUAAUGGCGUUCUCCACGGCCCACUGGGGGGCAUUGAAACCGGUCUGGCCAUCGGAGGCCAUGGCAAAGUCGUAGGUCAUCACGUUGAUAAAGUCGACCUGCUGAGCAAUGUUGGCGAUUUCGUAGGAUGCACUGGCCAAUGAUUCACCGGCGCCCACCGCAAUACCCAAUUCAUAGCCAUAGGGAGCGAACCUAUAGGACAUAAAUCAUUUAAAACUAAAGUAUGCUUCGGUAGUGGCUCCUCCACUACUCACGCCUCCUUAAUCUCGCGCAGCAGAGUCACAAAGUUGGCACGAUCGUUCCAGUUGCCACCACGCUGGUUGGGGUACUCCCAGUCCAGAUCCAGACCAUCGAAUCCAUGGUUGCGCAGCAGGUUCAGGGCGGAGUUAAUGAAGUUCUGGCGCUUGUACCAAUCGCCGGACAUCGAGGAGUACUUGGUGGAGCCCUCGUUCCAGCCGCCGACCACGGCCAGGACUUUCAGGUUGGAGUUUUGGUUCUUCAGGCUAAUCGCCUGGUUGAUGAAGCCCAGAUCGUAGUCCAGCCAAGUGUCCAGGGAUUGGAUCUCACCAUUGUCGUUGAUUCCGAAGAAGGAGUAGCUCAGAUGGGUGCACAGACCGGCAUCGAUAUUGGACACAUCGAACUUGCCAUUGCCGCUGCGGUAGUUGGCCCAGGUGCCCCAGUAGCAGUUGACGAUGCCUGGAUAACAGAUCAGGAAUACAGAUCGAUUAGCUUUUAAGCCAACACCAAAUUCGCGUAGAUUAGACUUACGUUCAGCACCGAUAACCUGGCUAAGGCAGAGGACAGCGAGUAGUGCCAAUAACUUUCCCAUUGCACGAAAUGCUUAUUACUUCUUGUUCCAUCUAGGUAUUUAUACCCUUCCGCACCGAUCUUAUCAAUACCAUUAUCUUUAUCAGCUGUGUCGGCUACUCCACUCCAAUUGUCGGACUAAUUUAUUGGGUCUUCGUCGCGUGCUUUGAAUUGUAAUAUUUAUACUAGCGACCG
Non-coding RNA from Drosophila melanogaster (fruit fly), 1186 nucleotides. The record is from Ensembl. NCBI's taxonomy places the organism in Eukaryota, Metazoa, Arthropoda, Insecta, Diptera, Drosophilidae.